Molecule: long non-coding RNA, 232 nt
Organism: Physella acuta
Lineage: Eukaryota; Metazoa; Mollusca; Gastropoda; Physidae
Source: RefSeq, a predicted model, not a curated record
GGCCAGAGAAACCCCACUACCCCCACAGUUACCUGCAUUGACUGUAGAUGUUAAAAGAAAUACCACGAUUUUUAAUGGAAAGGUUUAUAAAAAAGUGAAAUGUGCAUCCUUUUUUGGCCUUUUUGCAACGAAACGAAUCCCAGCACGACCACCCGAUGUAGACGACUUCAGUUUUUCUGUAAUCCGACCAGACGAUGUAACAGAUCAUCCCGUAAUCUGUGUCACAUGGAAG